UCCAUCAUGCAGAUAACUCCUCAGAGUGAGCGAGACAGUGUGGUGCAGAAGAAAGGGAACCAAAAAAUGUCAUCUUUAUCGGCUACUCUGAAUCUCUUAAGACCCUCUCUGGCUCCAACGCCACCGUCCGUAAGGUUCUUUGGUGUGCGAAACUCUGCCUCUUCUUAUUCUACUUCCCGGAGACUCGCUCUCUUUCAGCUCGGCUCUGCUCUACCUCAAUCACAACUGUUAGGUGCAAAAGCAUCUGAGUUGCUAAGAGGAGAGGGAAACCCUUUAGAGGCUGCCCCAGUUGCGAAUUUGGCACAGGCAGGCACCGCUAUUGCCAAGGAAAAUGCACUGGAGUGGGUAAAAAAUGACAAAAGAAGAAUGCUUCAUGUUGUUUAUCGUGUUGGGGACUUGGACAAGACUAUAAAAUUCUAUACUGAAUGUUUGGGGAUGAAGCUGUUAAGAAAACGUGACAUACCUGAGGAUCGAUAUUCGAAUGCUUUUCUUGGAUAUGGACCAGAAGAAUCCAAUUUUGUGGUUGAACUUACAUACAAUUACGGAGUGGACAGGUACAACAUUGGGACUGGUUUUGGCCAUUUUGGCAUUGCAGUUGAAGAUGUAACCAAAACCGUGGAACUUAUAAAGGCAAAGGGAGGGAAAGUUACCAAGGAACCUGGUCCUGCCAAAGGUGGCAGUACAAUAGUUGCCUCUGUUGAGGAUCCCGAUGGCUACACUUUUGAGCUUUUGGAGAGAGGGCCUUCACCUGAGCCCUUCCGUCAAGUGAUGCUUCGUGUAGGUGAUCUUGACCGUGCUGUUAACUUUUAUAAGAAGGCUUAUGGGAUGGAACUUCUCCACAAGAGAGAUCAACCUGAAUACAAGUAUACUGUUGCCAUGUUGGGCUACGGUCCUGAAGAUAAGAAUGCAGUGCUUGAACUGACGUACAACUAUGGGAUCACAGAUUAUGACAAGGGAAAUGGUUACGCGCAGAUCGCAAUAGGCACAGAUGAUGUUUACAAGACUGCAGAAGCAAUCAAACUAAGUGGAGGGAAGAUUAUUCUUGAUCCUGGGCCUUUGCCAGGUAUCAACACAAAGAUAACUGCUUGCCUCGACCCUGAUGGCUGGAAAUCGGUCUUUGUUGAUAAUGCUGAUUUUCUGAAGGAAUUAGAGUGAAGAAAAGCAUCACCAACAACUAAAAAACUGAGCCUGUGGAAGAUUUGUAACAAUUUUGACUGUAAAUUAUCCUAACCUCCUAACGCUACUUAUCUUGAAGCAGCCAUGAGAGAACCUGUUUUUAUCCCAAAGUAUGCCCUUGGUUUGCUGCCAUCUUCUCUUUCCCUGCCGGGCCAAGCUGGGAUGUCACAGUAGACUCCAGAGACCACACCUGCAUGCAUCACAGCAUGGCAUCACGGUUGACAGGGUAGAAGUCGAUGUAAAAUGUUUGAUCAAGGUAUGAGAAUUUUCUUACAUUUCUUCUUUUUUGUAAAUGUUCCCGCAAUAUGCUUGCUUUUCAUUUUGGCUAAAACCUGUUAUUAUUCCACUUCUGAAUAAGUAUUUGGUGAUGCUGUUUUAGAAAUAGUAGGUCUAUAACUAAUCAGUAAAUCUUCAACUUAGAAGUUGAUACUCUUUUCCAAAUUUUCGUGUAUCGGGUAUUUUACCUGCCCAUUUGAGUUAGUAUUGAAAGAAACCCUCUUCCAGUGAA
This is an RNA transcript of Pyrus x bretschneideri (Chinese white pear), 1684 nucleotides long. It is a transcript of the gene named probable lactoylglutathione lyase, chloroplastic, with no coding region annotated. The transcript is spliced from 10 exons. NCBI's taxonomy places the organism in Eukaryota, Viridiplantae, Streptophyta, Magnoliopsida, Rosales, Rosaceae. The record is from RefSeq and is a predicted model, not a curated record.